ACGGUGAUGAGGAGCUUGCUUCUUUGAUCAGUGGCGAACGGGUGAGUAACACGUGAGCAAUCUGCCCUUGACUCUGGGAUAACUGCGGGAAACUGUAGCUAAUACCGGAUACGACCUUCGGAGGCAUCUCUGGGGGUGGAAAGAAUUUUGGUCAAGGAUGAGCUCGCGGCCUAUCAGCUAGUUGGUGAGGUAAUGGCUCACCAAGGCGACGACGGGUAGCCGGCCUGAGAGGGUGACCGGCCACACUGGGACUGAGACACGGCCCAGACUCCUACGGGAGGCAGCAGUGGGGAAUAUUGCACAAUGGGCGCAAGCCUGAUGCAGCAACGCCGCGUGAGGGACGAAGGCCUUCGGGUUGUAAACCUCUUUUAGUAGGGAAGAAGUGACUGGGUUUUCCUGGAAGUGACGGUACCUGCAGAAAAAGCACCGGCUAACUACGUGCCAGCAGCCGCGGUAAUACGUAGGGUGCAAGCGUUGUCCGGAAUUAUUGGGCGUAAAGAGCUCGUAGGCGGUUUGUUGCGUCUGCUGUGAAAACCCGAGGCUCAACCUCGGGCCUGCAGUGGGUACGGGCAGACUAGAGUGCGGUAGGGGAGAUUGGAAUUCCUGGUGUAGCGGUGGAAUGCGCAGAUAUCAGGAGGAACACCAAUGGCGA
This 652-nucleotide ribosomal RNA is filed under the name uncultured bacterium. RNAcentral's name for it is "bacterial SSU rRNA". It matches the Rfam family "Bacterial small subunit ribosomal RNA", at positions 66 to 718 of the family's 1533-position model. The record is from RNAcentral.